AGCGAUAAAGGCAAACUCAGUGAGAACUGAGGACGCAAAGCCACGGGUCUCCUAUUUGCUUUACGGAAGAUAGCCGGGUUACCGAAC
RNAcentral lists this non-coding RNA (87 nucleotides) under Desulfosporosinus sp. RNAcentral describes it as "c-di-GMP sequence". It matches the Rfam family "c-di-GMP-I-GGC riboswitch aptamer". The record is from RNAcentral. Lineage: Bacteria; Bacillati; Bacillota; Clostridia; Eubacteriales; Desulfitobacteriaceae.